UCACACAAUUUUAGAUAGCAAUGCCUCCAA
RNAcentral lists this non-coding RNA (30 nucleotides) under Mus musculus (house mouse). Lineage: Eukaryota; Metazoa; Chordata; Mammalia; Rodentia; Muridae. The record is from RNAcentral.